RNAcentral lists this small RNA (134 nucleotides) under Syntrophus aciditrophicus SB. RNAcentral's name for it is "c-di-AMP riboswitch aptamer (ydaO/yuaA leader)". It matches the Rfam family "c-di-AMP riboswitch aptamer (ydaO/yuaA leader)". Rfam says of the family: This family represents a conserved RNA structure found upstream of the ydaO and yuaA genes in Bacillus subtilis and related genes in other bacteria. The ydaO/yuaA element is thought to act as a genetic "off" switch for the ydaO and yuaA genes in its native state. Lineage: Bacteria; Pseudomonadati; Thermodesulfobacteriota; Syntrophia; Syntrophales; Syntrophaceae. The record is from Rfam by way of RNAcentral. RNAcentral also lists the same sequence under 1 other name.
UAAUGCAUGGCGCUUAAUCCUCGAUUCAAGAGGAGCGGGGGACCCGUUCUCCUGGGGCGUAUCGCCAUUUGGCGUAGGGCACCUCUUCGGCCCGAGCCCGUCAGCUAACCUCGCAGGCAUCGAUGAGGGGACUC